UAAGGUUGUCUUUGUGUUCUUCUGUCCAU
RNAcentral lists this non-coding RNA (29 nucleotides) under Mus musculus (house mouse). The record is from RNAcentral. Lineage: Eukaryota; Metazoa; Chordata; Mammalia; Rodentia; Muridae.